UAAGACAUAGUAUAAUAAGUAUAAUUCACUUACAUUGAAUUGGUGAUCUAAAAGGAUCUGUUUUAA
Molecule: transfer RNA, 66 nt
Filed under: Lirapex sp. ZZ-2022
Lineage: Eukaryota; Metazoa; Mollusca; Gastropoda; Neomphalida; Peltospiridae
Description: tRNA-Val
Source: RNAcentral